ACACGCAUGACACACUGCAUAUCAAUAAGCGGAGGAAAAGAAACUAACAAGGAUUCCCUUAGUAACGGCGAGUGAAGCGGGAAGAGCUCAAAUUUGAAAUCUUCAAGGUUCUACCUUGACGAAUUGUAGUUUAUAGAAGUGUUUUCUGUUAGUGGAGUGGCAAAAGUUCUUUGGAAUAGGACAUCAUAGAGGGUGAGAAUCCCGUAUUUGGUCAUUCCUUCUAGCGUUGUGAUACACUUUCAACGAGUCGGAUUGUUUGGGAAUGCAGUCCAAAAUGGGUGGUAAAUUUCAUCUAAAGCUAAAUAUUGGCGAGAGACCGAUAGCGAACAAGUACCGUGAGGGAAAGAUGAAAAGAACUUUGAAAAGAGAGUUAAACAGUACGUGAAAUUGUCAAAAGGGAAGCGUUUGACACCAGUGUUGUUUUUCCGAAAAUCAAUUACGAAUGUUUUGUUUUUGAGGAGUUAUGACUUCAUCGGCUUGCUCCUCUCUUUAUCGAAACUUUCUUAAUGCACUUUUCGGUUAACAAGUCAACAUCAAUUUCUUUUGUUGUAAAAGGGUAUGAGGAAGGUGGCUUUCUUUUCGGAGAAAGUGUUUAUAGCCUUGUAGCCUCUGCAAUCGGAGAGAUUGAGGUCUGCAGCGUAGAUCCUUCGGGGUUAGAUACAGUUUGUGCUAAGUUAUAGCUUUUCAUAGACAACUUGUUGACUAUGUUAGUCUUGUAGCUUACUCGCUUAUGCUAUUUUACCUACGCUUAGGAUGUUGAAGAUGUAGCACAUCAU
This 776-nucleotide ribosomal RNA is filed under the name uncultured Neocallimastigales. Its description in RNAcentral is "partial large subunit ribosomal RNA". It matches the Rfam family "Eukaryotic large subunit ribosomal RNA", at positions 23 to 643 of the family's 3401-position model. Lineage: Eukaryota; Fungi; Neocallimastigomycota; Neocallimastigomycetes; Neocallimastigales. The record is from RNAcentral.